This 1998-nucleotide ribosomal RNA is filed under the name Salmonella enterica. Its description in RNAcentral is "partial 23S ribosomal RNA". It matches the Rfam family "Bacterial large subunit ribosomal RNA", at positions 823 to 2802 of the family's 2925-position model. Lineage: Bacteria; Pseudomonadati; Pseudomonadota; Gammaproteobacteria; Enterobacterales; Enterobacteriaceae. The record is from RNAcentral. RNAcentral also lists the same sequence under 1 other name.
GAAAGGCCAAUCAAACCGGGAGAUAGCUGGUUCUCCCCGAAAGCUAUUUAGGUAGCGCCUCGUGAAUUCAUCUCCGGGGGUAGAGCACUGUUUCGGCUAGGGGGCCAUCCCGGCUUACCAACCCGAUGCAAACUGCGAAUACCGGAGAAUGUUAUCACGGGAGACACACGGCGGGUGCUAACGUCCGUCGUGAAGAGGGAAACAACCCAGACCGCCAGCUAAGGUCCCAAAGUCAUGGUUAAGUGGGAAACGAUGUGGGAAGGCCCAGACAGCCAGGAUGUUGGCUUAGAAGCAGCCAUCAUUUAAAGAAAGCGUAAUAGCUCACUGGUCGAGUCGGCCUGCGCGGAAGAUGUAACGGGGCUAAACCAUGCACCGAAGCUGCGGCAGCGACACUGUGUGUUGUUGGGUAGGGGAGCGUUCUGUAAGCCUGUGAAGGUGUGUCGUGAGGCAUGCUGGAGGUAUCAGAAGUGCGAAUGCUGACAUAAGUAACGAUAAAGCGGGUGAAAAGCCCGCUCGCCGGAAGACCAAGGGUUCCUGUCCAACGUUAAUCGGGGCAGGGUGAGUCGACCCCUAAGGCGAGGCCGAAAGGCGUAGUCGAUGGGAAACGGGUUAAUAUUCCCGUACUUGGUGUUACUGCGAAGGGGGGACGGAGAAGGCUAUGUUGGCCGGGCGACGGUUGUCCCGGUUUAAGCGUGUAGGUGUGUGUUCCAGGUAAAUCCGGUUCACUUUAACACUGAGGCGUGACGACGAGGCACUACGGUGCUGAAGCAACAAAUGCCCUGCUUCCAGGAAAAGCCUCUAAGCAUCAGGUAACAUCAAAUCGUACCCCAAACCGACACAGGUGGUCAGGUAGAGAAUACCAAGGCGCUUGAGAGAACUCGGGUGAAGGAACUAGGCAAAAUGGUGCCGUAACUUCGGGAGAAGGCACGCUGACACGUAGGUGAAGUGAUUUACUCAUGGAGCUGAAGUCAGUCGAAGAUACCAGCUGGCUGCAACUGUUUAUUAAAAACACAGCACUGUGCAAACACGAAAGUGGACGUAUACGGUGUGACGCCUGCCCGGUGCCGGAAGGUUAAUUGAUGGGGUCAGCGCAAGCGAAGCUCCUGAUCGAAGCCCCGGUAAACGGCGGCCGUAACUAUAACGGUCCUAAGGUAGCGAAAUUCCUUGUCGGGUAAGUUCCGACCUGCACGAAUGGCGUAAUGAUGGCCAGGCUGUCUCCACCCGAGACUCAGUGAAAUUGAACUCGCUGUGAAGAUGCAGUGUACCCGCGGCAAGACGGAAAGACCCCGUGAACCUUUACUAUAGCUUGACACUGAACAUUGAGCCUUGAUGUGUAGGAUAGGUGGGAGGCUUUGAAGUGUGGACGCCAGUCUGCAUGGAGCCGACCUUGAAAUACCACCCUUUAAUGUUUGAUGUUCUAACGUGGACCCGUUACCCGGGUUGCGGACAGUGUCUGGUGGGUAGUUUGACUGGGGCGGUCUCCUCCUAAAGAGUAACGGAGGAGCACGAAGGUUGGCUAAUCCUGGUCGGACAUCAGGAGGUUAGUGCAAUGGCAUAAGCCAGCUUGACUGCGAGCGUGACGGCGCGAGCAGGUGCGAAAGCAGGUCAUAGUGAUCCGGUGGUUCUGAAUGGAAGGGCCAUCGCUCAACGGAUAAAAGGUACUCCGGGGAUAACAGGCUGAUACCGCCCAAGAGUUCAUAUCGACGGCGGUGUUUGGCACCUCGAUGUCGGCUCAUCACAUCCUGGGGCUGAAGUAGGUCCCAAGGGUAUGGCUGUUCGCCAUUUAAAGUGGUACGCGAGCUGGGUUUAGAACGUCGUGAGACAGUUCGGUCCCUAUCUGCCGUGGGCGCUGGAGAACUGAGGGGGGCUGCUCCUAGUACGAGAGGACCGGAGUGGACGCAUCACUGGUGUUCGGGUUGUCAUGCCAAUGGCACUGCCCGGUAGCUAAAUGCGGAAGAGAUAAGUGCUGAAAGCAUCUAAGCACGAAACUUGCCCCGA